RNAcentral lists this ribosomal RNA (273 nucleotides) under Triticum aestivum (bread wheat). RNAcentral describes it as "partial small subunit ribosomal RNA". Lineage: Eukaryota; Viridiplantae; Streptophyta; Magnoliopsida; Poales; Poaceae. The record is from RNAcentral.
AUGAUCGACGGAGGCACUCGGGUCCGUGAAGCAGAGGAAGCAAACGAAGAUGACAUCGAGGAACUUGGUGGCUCCGGCCUUGGAUCGCAGCGGGAACGGGGUUGUGGAGGCGUCGUGGUGCGCGUAGAGGAAGAAGGGGCUGGCGUUGGAGCUCCUACGCCGGAGCAGAGCUCCGGCUCCUCGUCCAUGGCGAUAGGGAGCGAGGCAACAGAGUGCUUGGGUGCCCCUUACCUGCGUGGCGGUGGCGGAGAAAGAGGGGGAGGGGAAGACUAG